UGGGUAACCUGCCUCAAAGAGGGGAAUAGCCUCCCGAAAGGGAGAUUAAUACCGCAUAAUAUGUUUAAGUCGCAUGACUUUAACAUCAAAGGAUUUUCCUUUAGAACUUCCACUUUGAGAUGGACCCGCGGCGCAUUAGCUAGUUGGUGAGGUAACGGCUCACCAAGGCAACGAUGCGUAGCCGACCUGAGAGGGUGAUCGGCCACAUUGGAACUGAGACACGGUCCAGACUCCGUAGGGAGG
RNAcentral lists this ribosomal RNA (243 nucleotides) under uncultured bacterium. Its description in RNAcentral is "partial 16S ribosomal RNA". It matches the Rfam family "Bacterial small subunit ribosomal RNA", at positions 118 to 348 of the family's 1533-position model. The record is from RNAcentral.